RNAcentral lists this ribosomal RNA (253 nucleotides) under uncultured bacterium. Its description in RNAcentral is "partial 16S ribosomal RNA". It matches the Rfam family "Bacterial small subunit ribosomal RNA", at positions 524 to 776 of the family's 1533-position model. The record is from RNAcentral.
UACAGAGGUCUCAAGCGUUGUUCGGAUUCAUUGGGCGUAAAGGGUAGGUAGGUGGUCUCGUUUGUCUGGGGUGAAAGCCUUGAGCUUAACUCAAGAAGUGCCCCAGAAACGGCGAGACUAGAGUUCUGGAGAGGGUCGUGGAAUUCCCGGUGUAGCGGUGAAAUGCGUAGAGAUCGGGAGGAACACCAGAGGCGAAGGCGGCGACCUGGACAGAUACUGACACUCAACUACGAAAGCGUGGGGAGCAAACAGG